Molecule: ribosomal RNA, 497 nt
Filed under: uncultured bacterium
Lineage: Bacteria
Description: partial 16S ribosomal RNA
Rfam family: Bacterial small subunit ribosomal RNA
Source: RNAcentral
GACGAACGCUGGCGGCGUGCCUAAUACAUGCAAGUAGAACGCUGAAGAGAGGAGCUUGCUCUUCUUGGAUGAGUUGCGAACGGGUGAGUAACGCGUAGGUAACCUGCCUUGUAGCGGGGGAUAACUAUUGGAAACGAUAGCUAAUACCGCAUAACAAUGGAUGACACAUGUCAUUUAUUUGAAAGGGGCAAUUGCUCCACUACAAGAUGGACCUGCGUUGUAUUAGCUAGUAGGUGAGGUAAUGGCUCACCUAGGCGACGAUACAUAGCCGACCUGAGAGGGUGAUCGGCCACACUGGGACUGAGACACGGCCCAGACUCCUACGGGAGGAAGCAGUAGGGAAUCUUCGGCAAUGGGGGCAACCCUGACCGAGCAACGCCGCGUGAGUGAAGAAGGUUUUCGGAUCGUAAAGCUCUGUUGUAAGUCAAGAACGGGUGUGAGAGUGGAAAGUUCACACUGUGACGGUAGCUUACCAGAAAGGGACGGCUAACUACGUG